RNAcentral lists this ribosomal RNA (253 nucleotides) under uncultured bacterium. RNAcentral's name for it is "partial 16S ribosomal RNA". It matches the Rfam family "Bacterial small subunit ribosomal RNA", at positions 103 to 354 of the family's 1533-position model. The record is from RNAcentral.
CGGGUAAGUAACACGUAUGCAACCUGCCUGCCACAGCCGGAUAAUCGGGAGAAAUUCCGUCUAAUACGGCAUAAUGCAUCGACGGGACAUCCUGUUGGUGCCAAGGGUUGAUUCCGGUGGCGGAUGGGCAUGCGUCGCAUUAGUUAGUUGGCGGUGUAACGGACCACCAAGACGACGAUGCGUGGGGGUUCUGAGAGGAAGGUCCCCCACACUGGUACUGAGACACGGACCAGACUCCUACGGAAGGCAGCAG